RNAcentral lists this small nucleolar RNA (130 nucleotides) under Pelusios castaneus (West African mud turtle). RNAcentral's name for it is "Small nucleolar RNA SNORA8 (ENSPCEG00000014765.1)". It matches the Rfam family "Small nucleolar RNA SNORA8". From Rfam's summary of the family: ACA8 is a member of the H/ACA class of snoRNA that guide the sites of modification of uridines to pseudouridines. Lineage: Eukaryota; Metazoa; Chordata; Testudines; Pelomedusidae. The record is from Rfam by way of RNAcentral.
UGCAAUGCGAGGUACCUGCAUCCAACAGUGUAGUUCUGAUGGGAUGGUCUGAAAACAGUGUUAAAGUAAUUCAGCAUUGGCAUCAUUGGCUUUCAUGCUGCUGUGCCUGUGCUUGAAGUGCGAAAAAAUU